RNAcentral lists this ribosomal RNA (415 nucleotides) under uncultured Pantoea sp. RNAcentral describes it as "bacterial SSU rRNA". It matches the Rfam family "Bacterial small subunit ribosomal RNA", at positions 107 to 518 of the family's 1533-position model. Lineage: Bacteria; Pseudomonadati; Pseudomonadota; Gammaproteobacteria; Enterobacterales; Erwiniaceae. The record is from RNAcentral.
UGAGUAAUGUCUGGGGAUCUGCCCGAUAGAGGGGGAUAACCACUGGAAACGGUGGCUAAUACCGCAUAACGUCGCACGACCAAAGAGGGGGACCUUCGGGCCUCUCACUAUCGGAUGAACCCAGAUGGGAUUAGCUAGUAGGCGGGGUAAUGGCCCACCUAGGCGACGAUCCCUAGCUGGUCUGAGAGGAUGACCAGCCACACUGGAACUGAGACACGGUCCAGACUCCUACGGGAGGCAGCAGUGGGGAAUAUUGCACAAUGGGCGCAAGCCUGAUGCAGCCAUGCCGCGUGUAUGAAGAAGGCCUUCGGGUUGUAAAGUACUUUCAGCGGGGAGGAAGGCGAUGGGGUUAAUAACCUUAUCGAUUGACGUUACCCGCAGAAGAAGCACCGGCUAACUCCGUGCCAGCAGCCGC